Molecule: ribosomal RNA, 706 nt
Filed under: Raveniella peckorum
Lineage: Eukaryota; Metazoa; Arthropoda; Arachnida; Araneae; Micropholcommatidae
Description: SSU rRNA
Rfam family: Eukaryotic small subunit ribosomal RNA
Source: RNAcentral
CAAGGAAGGCAGCAGGCGCGCAAAUUACCCACUCCCGGCACGGGGAGGUAGUGACGAAAAAUAACGAUACGGGACUCUUUUGAGACCCCGUAAUCGGAAUGAGAACGGUCCAAAAACUCUAGCGAGGACCCAUUGGAGGGCAAGCCUGGUGCCAGCAGCCGCGGUAACUCCAGCUCCAAUAGCGUAUAUUAAAGUUGUUGCGGUUAAAAAGCUCGUAGUUGGAUCUCAGUUCCGGUCGGGGGAUCCGUCUUCCGACGGCCAUCUCCCGGACCGAACAGCCGGCCGGUCUCCCUCGAUGAUCUUCAUCGGUUGUCUCGGGUUGACCGGCGAGUUUACUUUGAAAAAAUUAGAGUGCUCAAAGCAGGCUCCAGAAGCCUGGAUAAUGGUGCAUGGAAUAAUGGAAUAGGACCUCGGUUCUAUUUUGUUGGUUUUAGGAUCACGAGGUAAUGAUUAAGAGGGACAGACGGGGGCAUUCGUAUUGCGGCGCUAGAGGUGAAAUUCUUGGACCGCCGCAAGACGAACGACAGCGAAAGCAUUUGCCAAGAAUGUUUCCAUUAAUCAAGAACGAAAGUCAGAGGCUCGAAGGCGAUCAGAUACCGCCCUAGUUCUGACCAUAAACGAUGCCAGCCAGCGAUCCGGCUGCGUUCCUCAAAUGACGCGCCGGGCAGCUUCCGGGAAACCAAAGCUUUUGGGUUCCGGGGGAAGU